UACAGAGGUGGCAAGCGUUGUUCGGAAUUACUGGGCGUAAAGGGCGCGUAGGCGGUCUUGCAAGUCCCGUGUGAAAUCCCUCGGCUCAACUGAGGAAUUGCACGGGAAACUGCUUGGCUUGAGAUCGGGAGAGGGAAGCGGAAUUCCGGGUGUAGCGGUGAAAUGCGUAGAUAUCCGGAGGGACACCGGUGGCGAAGGCGGCUUCCUGGACCGACACUGACGCUGAGGCGCGAAAGCUAGGGGAGCAAACGGG
RNAcentral lists this ribosomal RNA (253 nucleotides) under uncultured prokaryote. RNAcentral describes it as "partial 16S ribosomal RNA". It matches the Rfam family "Bacterial small subunit ribosomal RNA", at positions 524 to 776 of the family's 1533-position model. The record is from RNAcentral.